ACGGGUGAGUAACACGUGAGUAACCUGCCCCUGACUCUGGGAUAAGCGUUGGAAACGACGUCUAAUACUGGAUAUGAUCACUGGCCGCAUGGUCUGGUGGUGGAAAGAUUUUUUGGUUGGGGAUGGACUCGCGGCCUAUCAGCUUGUUGGUGAGGUAAUGGCUCACCAAGGCGACGACGGGUAGCCGGCCUGAGAGGGUGACCGGCCACACUGGGACUGAGACACGGCCCAGACUCCUACGGGAGGCAGCAGUGGGGAAUAUUGCACAAUGGGCGAAAGCCUGAUGCAGCAACGCCGCGUGAGGGAUGACGGCCUUCGGGUUGUAAACCUCUUUUAGUAGGGAAGAAGCGAAAGUGACGGUACCUGCAGAAAAAGCACCGGCUAACUACGUGCCAGCAGCCGCGGUAAUACGUAGGGUGCAAGCGUUGUCCGGAAUUAUUGGGCGUAAAGAGCUCGUAGGCGGUUUGUCGCGUCUGCUGUGAAAUCCCGAGGCUCAACCUCGGGCUUGCAGUGGGUACGGGCAGACUAGAGUGCGGUAGGGGAGAUUGGAAUUCCUGGUGUAGCGGUGGAAUGCGCAGA
RNAcentral lists this ribosomal RNA (579 nucleotides) under uncultured bacterium. RNAcentral describes it as "bacterial SSU rRNA". It matches the Rfam family "Bacterial small subunit ribosomal RNA", at positions 102 to 694 of the family's 1533-position model. The record is from RNAcentral. RNAcentral also lists the same sequence under 1 other name.